This 823-nucleotide ribosomal RNA is filed under the name Paramyrothecium sp. Its description in RNAcentral is "eukaryotic LSU rRNA". It matches the Rfam family "Eukaryotic large subunit ribosomal RNA", at positions 74 to 931 of the family's 3401-position model. Lineage: Eukaryota; Fungi; Ascomycota; Sordariomycetes; Hypocreales; Stachybotryaceae. The record is from RNAcentral.
AUUGCCUCAGUAACGGCGAGUGAAGCGGCAACAGCUCAAAUUUGAAAUCUGGCCCCAGGCCCGAGUUGUAAUUUGCAGAGGAUGCUUUUGGCGAGGUGCCUUCCGAGUUCCCUGGAACGGGACGCCAUAGAGGGUGAGAGCCCCGUCUGGUCGGACACCGAGCCUCUGUAAAGCUCCUUCGACGAGUCGAGUAGUUUGGGAAUGCUGCUCUAAAUGGGAGGUAUAUGUCUUCUAAAGCUAAAUACCGGCCAGAGACCGAUAGCGCACAAGUAGAGUGAUCGAAAGAUGAAAAGCACUUUGAAAAGAGAGUUAAAUAGCACGUGAAAUUGUUGAAAGGGAAGCGUUUAUGACCAGACUUGGCCCGGUUGAUCAUCCAGCGUUCUCGCUGGUGCACUCUGCCGGUCCAGGCCAGCAUCAGUUCGUCGCGGGGGAUAAAGGUUUCGGGAAUGUGGCUCCUCCGGGAGUGUUAUAGCCCGUUGCGUAAUACCCUGCGGUGGACUGAGGUCCGCGCUUCUGCAAGGAUGCUGGCGUAAUGGUCAUCAACGACCCGUCUUGAAACACGGACCAAGGAGUCGUCUUCGUAUGCGAGUGUUCGGGUGUAAAACCCCUACGCGUAAUGAAAGUGAACGCAGGUGAGAGCUUCGGCGCAUCAUCGACCGAUCCUGAUGUUCUCGGAUGGAUUUGAGUAAGAGCAUACGGGGCCGGACCCGAAAGAAGGUGAACUAUGCCUGUAUAGGGUGAAGCCAGAGGAAACUCUGGUGGAGGCUCGCAGCGGUUCUGACGUGCAAAUCGAUCGUCAAAUAUGGGCAUGGGGGCGAAAGAC